This 1218-nucleotide unclassified non-coding RNA is filed under the name Daphnia pulicaria. Its description in RNAcentral is "28S ribosomal protein S35, mitochondrial-like, transcript variant X13". The record is from RNAcentral. Lineage: Eukaryota; Metazoa; Arthropoda; Branchiopoda; Diplostraca; Daphniidae.
AACUUGUCUUUUAGUCUGCUAAAAAAGAGUCAAAUAAAAUGUCUGCAAUUGUCAACCUACGUGUUUUCCGUAAUUUUCAGCAGUUUGUGUCAAUUAGACCCAUUUCUAAUGAUCCCACAUCAUUUCGAUAAAAAAAAAGGAAUUCAGAAGGUGGAUGGAGAUGACGAAUUCCGUUCGCUGGAUCUGAGUCCCAACAAGUCGUUGAAUAUGAGAUCAUACGGACGCAAAGUGUACAAGAGAGUAGCAGUUCAUCCUCCACAUUCCAACAAAAUGCCAACUGAUGAAGACUGGCCCUCAGUUUCGCCAAUUGCCAGAUCUUUCCAUCCAGCUAGUUUUCCCCUGCCCUUGCAUCAGGACUAUGUUGUUCCGGGGGCAACACCACCAGGUAAAUUUGCCAAUGCAGAGAUGAUGAAGAUCCCCAACUUCAAGUUAGGUUAUGGCCGUCAAGCAGCCUACCGUCAACUAUUUUGUUCAAAAUCAUUGUAUUCUACUGAAUGUGCAAUCGAAAUGAUACAGGAGUCAUAAUUAUCUGCUGUUUGUAUUGGACUUGCUAGAUCACCAAUCCCAGCAUAGACCAAUCUCUCAUUUCAUCUUCUUGAGAGAAGAAUGGAUUAGUGAUUGGUGGUUUCAUUUAUCAUAGAUGUCAAGCACUUUGAUGACACAAAUUAUAAACAAGAUCACCAACCACAGCAUGAACCAAUCAAUCAUUCACUUCUUUAGAGAACCUUGGAUAGCUGUUCGGUGGUUUUAUUUACAUCAAGCACAUUGAUGACACCAAUGAUAAACAGGUUUAUCGUGUAUGUUCGCGUAGUUGCUGUCCGCUGUGGUACUUUGUUGCAGCCUAUGCUGGUGAUAGAUCUUUCUGCAUCAAAUUCAAUUGGCCGUGCUGUUGUCGUGUAACCGUUAAAUGUUAAGAAGGAAAAAAAAUAUGGGGAUAGUUAUGUCUAGCAAGUAAUAAACAUGUUUUCGGGAUUGGGAAAGGAAAGUGGAAGAUGUUGGAGAGGGGGAUUCAAGUUUGGAUAAAAACAGUUAAUUUUAAGUUUUAACCCUACAAACAUAUCCCUACCAACUAAUCUCCAAACCCCACAAACUUAUACCUUCCAACUCUUCACACACAAACACACCUACCAACCCUAAAUUUAUAUCAUAUCCAAAUUAACCAAUGUUAAACCCUAACAAUGUGAUGUCUGUAAUAAAUAAAACUUUUUAUACAUAAAA